RNAcentral lists this ribosomal RNA (374 nucleotides) under uncultured bacterium. RNAcentral describes it as "bacterial SSU rRNA". It matches the Rfam family "Bacterial small subunit ribosomal RNA", at positions 521 to 896 of the family's 1533-position model. The record is from RNAcentral.
UAAUACAGAGGUCUCAAGCGUUGUUCGGAAUUACUGGGCGUAAAGGGUGCGCAGGCCGCGCGGGCAGUCAAAUGUGUAAUCCAGGGGCUCAACCCCUGAACUGCGCUUGAUACUUCCGCGCUCGAGCUUUGGAGAGGAGUCUGGAAUUCUCGGUGUAGCAGUGAAAUGCGUGGAUAUCGAGAAGAACACUUAGGGCGUAGGCAAGACUCUGGACAAAUGCUGACGCUCAUGCACGAAGGCUAGGGUAGCGAACGGGAUUAGAUACCCCGGUAGUCCUAGCUGUAAACGGUGCACGUUUGGUGUGGGAGGCAACCCCUUCCGUGCCGAAGCUAACGCGAUAAACGUGCCGCCUGGGUAGUACGGUCGCAAGACUA